UUCAGAGGGGGACAACAGUUGGAAACGACUGCUAAUACCGCAUACGAUCUAAUCUUGGCAUCGAGGAUAGAUGAAAGGUGGCCUCUACAUGUAAGCUAUCACUGAAGGAGGGGAUUGCGUCUGAUUAGCUAGUUGGAGGAGUAACGGCCCACCAAGGCGAUGAUCAGUAGCCGGUCUGAGAGGAUGAACGGCCACAUUGGGACUGAGACACGGCCCAGACUCCUACGGGAGGCAGCAUG
This 239-nucleotide ribosomal RNA is filed under the name uncultured bacterium. RNAcentral's name for it is "partial 16S ribosomal RNA". It matches the Rfam family "Bacterial small subunit ribosomal RNA", at positions 132 to 353 of the family's 1533-position model. The record is from RNAcentral.